This 64-nucleotide transfer RNA is filed under the name Dagualachesilla anchicayaensis. RNAcentral's name for it is "tRNA-Ala". It matches the Rfam family "tRNA". Rfam says of the family: Transfer RNA (tRNA) molecules are approximately 80 nucleotides in length. Their secondary structure includes four short double-helical elements and three loops (D, anti-codon, and T loops). The record is from RNAcentral. Lineage: Eukaryota; Metazoa; Arthropoda; Insecta; Psocodea; Sphaeropsocidae.
AAGAAUAUAGUUAAUUAUAACAUUUGAUCUGCAAUCAAAAGGUAUUGAACUCCAAUUUUUCUUA